This is a long non-coding RNA of Dromaius novaehollandiae (emu), 883 nucleotides long. RefSeq lists it as uncharacterized. The record is from RefSeq and is a predicted model, not a curated record. Lineage: Eukaryota; Metazoa; Chordata; Aves; Casuariiformes; Dromaiidae. The transcript has 4 exons.
CUGUGUAGGAGCAGAUGGGCGCUGGGCGAAAGGCUCCUGCCUGGGAACCCAAGGGUGCAGCAGCGUGGAGGAGGAGCAGCCAAGCAGGAAACCUCUCCUUUUGCUUCCCCUCGUUUCUUACCUGAAAGGACCACCUCUAACUUUUCUGGCCUCUUGCACUUUGAUUUCUGGCUGCCCUCAUCUUCUCUCCUCUCCGCUCUCAAGCCCCUGGCAGCCUCCAGCGAGGCUCACCAUGUGCUCAGCAGCCUCCAAGUUUGUCUCCGCUGCCGAGCGCCCAGUGAUCAUGCCACGUUCAGGAGUGGGGAUGUGCUGCUACCACCCCACUUUGGAGGAAGAGACUUGAACAGAUGAAUUUGAAAACGUUUCAUCGGGAGGCACCAGCCCUGGACUAGCGGAGUCAGUCCCGUUAAGAGCCCUUGGGGCUGGAGAAGGCUGAGGAAUGGGAAGGCAGAACAACGUGGCAUCUGCUGAGUCUUUGGCAAGGCUUAUAUAUUUGACAUUGAGCUCCUCGUUUCAGUCCAAACUUUAAUAACAUCAGAGUUGACACAACAGAGCAGAGCGACGAUUCAUCCCAUAGCCCGGCCUGCCAGUGGCCAGUGCCAGAUGCUUCAGAGGAGAUUGUAGAGCAUCAUAAUACAGCUAAUUGGUGGGAAAGCGGCCUUCUGGUGCCAGCUGGUGUUCAUCAGCUCUGUGUCCUGCAGCACGAGGGCCUGAUGAAAACAGCCACGCUCAGCACCUCUUGCCUGCCUUCAAUCAGAGGAGCACAAACAUUGUUGAACGAAGCCCUUCGUACAUCGGGUGUUGUAUUGUUGCUAUGUAUCUGCUGAUGGCCUGGCAUCAGGGGAUGGAGAGCCAGCCUCCUUGAUGGAGGUUCGUGGUUGCA